GACGAACGCUGGCGGCGUGCUUAACACAUGCAAGUCGAACGGAAAGGCCCUGCUUUUGUGGGGUGCUCGAGUGGCGAACGGGUGAGUAACACGUGAGUAACCUGCCCUUGACUUUGGGAUAACUUCAGGAAACUGGGGCUAAUACCGGAUCGGAGCUCCUGCUGCAUGGUGGGGGUUGGAAAGUUUCGGCGGUUGGGGAUGGACUCGCGGGUUAUCAGCUUGUUGGUGGGGUAGUGGCUUACCAAGGCUUUGACGGGUAGCCGGCCUGAGAGGGUGACCGGCCACAUUGGGACUGAGAUACGGCCCAGACUCCUACGGGAGGCAGCAGUGGGGAAUAUUGCACAAGGGGCGGAAGCCUGAUGCAGCAACGCCGCGUGCGGGAUGACGGCCUUCGGGUUGUAAACCGCUUUCGCCGGUGACGAAGCGUGAGUGACGAUAAUGGGUAAAGAAGCACCGGCUAACUACGUG
This 468-nucleotide ribosomal RNA is filed under the name uncultured bacterium. RNAcentral's name for it is "partial 16S ribosomal RNA". It matches the Rfam family "Bacterial small subunit ribosomal RNA", at positions 28 to 507 of the family's 1533-position model. The record is from RNAcentral.